RNAcentral lists this ribosomal RNA (381 nucleotides) under uncultured marine Chaetocerotaceae. Its description in RNAcentral is "SSU rRNA". It matches the Rfam family "Eukaryotic small subunit ribosomal RNA", at positions 587 to 972 of the family's 1831-position model. The record is from RNAcentral. Lineage: Eukaryota; Bacillariophyta; Thalassiosirophyceae; Chaetocerotales; Chaetocerotaceae.
AGCUCCAAUAGCGUAUAUUAAAGUUGCUGCAGUUAAAAAGCUCGUAGUUGCAUUUCCGAGGCAAGGGAUUAGUCCGACCUUUGGUGGGUAUUUAAUCCUCUUGCCUCGUCCUUGAGUGGUGCUUCUUGGUAUUAAGUUAUCGAGGAGAUAGCCGCUCAUCGUUUACUGUGAGAAAAUUAGAGUGUUCAAAGCAGGCUUAUGCCGUUGAAUAUAUUAGCAUGGAAUAAUAAGAUAGGAACUCGGUACUAUUGUGUUGGUUUGAGAACCAAGGUAAUGAUGAAUAGGGACAGUUGGGGGUAUUCGUAUUCAGUUGUCAGAGGUGAAAUUCUUAGAUUUACGGAAGACGAACUACUGCGAAAGCAUUUACCAAGGAUGUUUUCA